GCUGAGAAGUUUGAAAUCAGUCAGAUAAGUGCACAACUCAGGCAGGGUAAGUAACUAGACACUGUGGUGGGCCUGGAAGUUUAGAAUGUGAAUUUGGGUGGAGCUGCUGUGGGUGGAGAUCUUGGUGGUAGUAGCAAAUAUUCAAAUGAGAACUUUGAAGGCCGAAGUGGAGAAGGAUUCCAUGUGAACAGCAGUUCAAAAUGAGUCAGUUGGUCCUGAGAGAAUGCGAGCACAUUCCGAAGGGAAUGUUGCCCUCGGCCGAUCAAAAGGGAGUCAGGUUCAGAUUCCCAAAUCCGUAGUGAUUCCUCAGAUGACUCUGGAGAGAAUGAAUUUGGGGACUUUGCACAGCCCUGCCUCACUUAAAUCUAAUUCACUUGCAAGUCAAGGCAACACCUUCUUAAUGUCAUUGGUCCUCUUCAAGAAUCUAUUAAUUUUCCAAUUUCUUUGCUAUCACAAAAAGAGCUGCUACAAACAUUUUUGCACAUGUGAGUUCUUUUUCCUUCUUUAAAAUUUCCUUGGGAAACAGACCCAGUAAUGGUGUGAAGACCGUGUAUUUUUAAAUUAGCAGGAGUCAGGAAUUCAGGUUACGGGAAAAUCGUCAGUCUUUAUUCUCAGUGAAGAAGGAUCGGAGGUGGAAGAGAAUCGGCGAUAGCAAUGUGUGUAGCUGAGUCAAGAAGCUAGCUAGACCAGCA
Molecule: non-coding RNA, 692 nt
Organism: Sarcophilus harrisii (Tasmanian devil)
Lineage: Eukaryota; Metazoa; Chordata; Mammalia; Dasyuromorphia; Dasyuridae
Source: Rfam